GUCCUUAUGAAUAAAUAUAANGUCGNNCCUGCUCAAUGAUUUAUUUAAAUAGCUGCGGUAUAUUGACCGUGCAAAGGUAGCAUAAUCAUUAGUUCUUUAAUUGGGAACUGGCAUGAAUGGUUUGACGAAAAAUAAUCUGUCUGCAUUAUGAAAUAUUGAAUUUUAUUUUUUGGUUAAAAAGCCGAAUUGUAAUUAAGGGACGAGAAGACCCUAUAGAGUUUAUAUAAUUAUUAUGUUUUAUAAGUUGGUUAAAGUUAUUUAUAUUAAAAUGUAUUUAUUAUAUUUUAUUGGGGUGAUAAGAGAAAAAUUAAAACUUCUUUUUAUGUGAAACUGAAAUAAUAGAAUUAAUUAUAAUGAUCCUAUUUUAAGGAAUGUGAGAAAUAAUUACCUUAGGGAUAACAGCGUAAUUUUAUUUGAGAGUUCAUAUCGAUGAUAAAGUUUGCGACCUCGAUGUUGGAUUAAGAUAACUAUUAGGUGUAGAAGUUUAAUAAGNGGGNCUGUUCNACCUUUAAUAUCUNACA
This 521-nucleotide ribosomal RNA is filed under the name Ornebius sp. 9 BHW-2013. Its description in RNAcentral is "partial small subunit ribosomal RNA". It matches the Rfam family "Bacterial large subunit ribosomal RNA", at positions 1829 to 2600 of the family's 2925-position model. Lineage: Eukaryota; Metazoa; Arthropoda; Insecta; Orthoptera; Mogoplistidae. The record is from RNAcentral.